UUUUAUUUGAGAGUUUGAUCCUGGCCCAGGAUGAACGCUGGCGGCGUGCCUAACACAUGCAAGUUGAGCGAUUUACUUCGGUAAAGAGCGGCGGACGGGUGAGUAACGCGUGGGUAACCUACCCUGUACACACGGAUAACAUACCGAAAGGUAUGCUAAUACGGGAUAAUAUAUUUGAGAGGCAUCUCUUAAAUAUCAAAGGUGAGCCAGUACAGGAUGGACCCGCGUCUGAUUAGCUAGUUGGUAAGGUAACGGCUUACCAAGGCGACGAACAGUAGCCGACCUGAGAGGGUGAUCGGCCACAUUGGAACUGAGACACGGUCCAAACUCCUACGGGAGGCAGCAGUGGGGAAUAUUGAACAAUGGGCGAAAGCCUGAUGCAGCAACGCCGCGUGAGUGAUGAAGGCCUUCGGGUCGUAAAACUCUGUCCUCAAGGAAGAUAAUGACGGUACUUGAGGAGGAAGCCCCGGCUAACUACGUGCCAGCAGCCGCGGUAAUACGUAGGGGGCUAGCGUUAUCCGGAUUUACUGGGCGUAAAGGGUGCGUAGGCGGUCUUUCAAGUCAGGAGUGAAAGGCUACGGCUCAACCGUAGUAAGCUCUUGAAACUGGGAGACUUGAGUGCAGGAGAGGAGAGUGGAAUUCCUAGUGUAGCGGUGAAAUGCGUAGAUAUUAGGAGGAACACCAGUUGCGAAGGCGGCUCUCUGGACUGUAACUGACGCUGAGGCACGAAAGCGUGGGGAGCAAACAGGAUUAGAUACCCUGGUAGUCCACGCUGUAAACGAUGAGUACUAGGUGUCGGGGGUUACCCCC
RNAcentral lists this ribosomal RNA (810 nucleotides) under Clostridioides difficile. RNAcentral's name for it is "bacterial SSU rRNA". It matches the Rfam family "Bacterial small subunit ribosomal RNA", at positions 1 to 841 of the family's 1533-position model. Lineage: Bacteria; Bacillati; Bacillota; Clostridia; Peptostreptococcales; Peptostreptococcaceae. The record is from RNAcentral.